Molecule: unclassified non-coding RNA, 117 nt
Organism: Macaca fascicularis (crab-eating macaque)
Lineage: Eukaryota; Metazoa; Chordata; Mammalia; Primates; Cercopithecidae
Rfam family: Metazoan signal recognition particle RNA
About the family: The signal recognition particle (SRP) is a universally conserved ribonucleoprotein. It is involved in the co-translational targeting of proteins to membranes.
Source: Ensembl
GCCAGGCAUGAUGGCUCAUGCCUGUAAUCCCAGCACUUUGGGAGGCCGAGGCAGGGGUAUCACCUGAGGUCAGGAAUUCAAGACCAGCCUGGCCAACACGGUGAAACCCCGUCUCUA